This 65-nucleotide transfer RNA is filed under the name Pseudoeurycea orchimelas. Its description in RNAcentral is "tRNA-Ile". Lineage: Eukaryota; Metazoa; Chordata; Amphibia; Caudata; Plethodontidae. The record is from RNAcentral.
GACAUGUGCCCGAAAGAUAAGGACUACCUUGAUAGGGUAACUAACAGAGGUUCAAACCCUCUCAU